RNAcentral lists this ribosomal RNA (331 nucleotides) under uncultured Chloroflexota bacterium. RNAcentral's name for it is "bacterial SSU rRNA". It matches the Rfam family "Bacterial small subunit ribosomal RNA", at positions 28 to 351 of the family's 1533-position model. The record is from RNAcentral. Lineage: Bacteria; Bacillati; Chloroflexota.
GAUGAACGUUGGCGGCGUGCUUAAUACAUGCAAGUCGAACGAGGAGACUUUUGUGCUUGCAUAAGGGUCUCUUAGUGGCGAACGGGUGAGUAACGCGUUGGUGAUCUACCCCGAAGUGUGGAAUAACCCCGGGAAACUGGGGCUAAUACCGCAUGUGGUCAUGAGUGUUAGAGUCUCAUGUCUAAAGGAGCAAUUCGCUUCGGGAGGAGCCUGCGUCCCAUCAGCUAGUUGGUAGGGUAACGGCCUACCAAGGCAAUGACGGGUAGGGGGCCUGAGAGGGUGACCCCCCACACUGGCACUGAAACACGGGCCAGACACCUACGGGUGGCAG